Molecule: long non-coding RNA, 303 nt
Filed under: Ananas comosus (pineapple)
Lineage: Eukaryota; Viridiplantae; Streptophyta; Magnoliopsida; Poales; Bromeliaceae
Description: long non-coding RNA (ACOM_LNC044356)
Source: RNAcentral
UUUUGAGGUGUUAGGGUUGAGAGAAUGAGAAGAGAGAGUGAAAACCCACUUCUAUAGCCUCUCAUUAGUGCAAAAUUGCAUAAAAACCCCUCAACAAAGCCUCUCUUGCAACAGCCCAAACUGGGCCAUUUUCGCGCUCGGGGACCGGUCCUUGCGGUGAGAGACCGGUCCCUGAGAGACCGGUCCUUGCGGUGAGAGACCGGUCCCCGAAGGUCCAGAACUCAGCCUCAAGGACUUAGCCAAAUUUCAGCCUUUUUCACCGUUUCUUCUCCGUUUUCGCUCGUUUUCGCUCGUUUGACCUCC